GACAGAGGGUGCAAACGUUGUUCGGAUUUACUGGGCGUAAAGCGCGUGUAGGCGGCUUGGCAAGUCGGAUGUGAAAUCCCACGGCUCAACCGUGGAAGUGCACUCGAAACUGCAGAGCUAGAGUCCUGGAGAGGAAGGUGGAAUGCUUGGUGUAGAGGUGAAAUUCGUAGAUAUCAAGCGGAACACCGGUGGCGAAGGCGGCCUUCUGGACAGUGACUGACGCUGAGACGCGAAAGCGUGGGGAGCAAACAGG
RNAcentral lists this ribosomal RNA (253 nucleotides) under uncultured bacterium. Its description in RNAcentral is "partial 16S ribosomal RNA". It matches the Rfam family "Bacterial small subunit ribosomal RNA", at positions 524 to 776 of the family's 1533-position model. The record is from RNAcentral.